This 1612-nucleotide ribosomal RNA is filed under the name activated sludge metagenome. RNAcentral describes it as "bacterial LSU rRNA". It matches the Rfam family "Bacterial large subunit ribosomal RNA", at positions 194 to 1976 of the family's 2925-position model. The record is from RNAcentral.
UGAAACAUCUCAGUACCCGGAGGAAAGGACAUCAACCGAGACUCCCGUAGUAGUGGCGAGCGAACCGGGACCAGGCCAGUGCUCUUGUGAAAUAAAGUCGAACGGAAUGGAAAGUCCGGCCAUAGCGGGUGACAGCCCCGUAGACGUCAAACAGCAAGAGACUCGAGUAGGGCGGGACACGUGAAAUCCUGUCUGAACAUGGGGGGACCACCCUCCAAGCCUAAGUACUCCUCUACGACCGAUAGUGAACAAGUACCGUGAGGGAAAGGUGAAAAGCACCCCGACAAGGGGAGUGAAACAGAUCCUGAAAUCGGAAGCCUACAAGCAGUCGGAGCCGCCAAGCGCGGUGACGGCGUACCUUUUGUAUAAUGGGUCAGCGACUUCAUGUGUCGAGCAAGCUUAAGCCGUUAGGUGUAGGCGCAGCGAAAGCGAGUCUGAAUAGGGCGCUAAGUUCGACGUAUGACGACCCGAAACCAGGUGAUCUAUCCAUGAGCAGGAUGAAGGUAAGGUAACACUUACUGGAGGUCCGAACCCGUGAAUGUUGAAAAAUUCUGGGAUGACUUGUGGAUAGGGGUGAAAGGCCAAUCAAACCUGGACAUAGCUGGUUCUCCGCGAAAUCUAUUUAGGUAGAGCGUCCGACGAAUACCCUGGGGGGUAGAGCACUGGAUGGUUGCGGGCUGCGCGAGCGGUACCAAUACUAACCAAACUCCGAAUACCCAGGAGUACUAUCGGGCAGACACACGGCGGGUGCUAACGUCCGUCGUGAAAAGGGAAACAACCCUAACCAUCAUCUAAGGCCCCCAAGUCAUGGCUAAGUGGGAAACGAUGUGGGAUUGCUUUGACAAUCAGGAGGUUGGCUUAGAAGCAGCCAUCCUUUAAAGAAAGCGUAACAGCUCACUGAUCAAGCGAUCCUGCGCGGAAAAUGUAACGGGGCUAAAGCCAUGCGCCGAAGAUAUGGGUUUGCAGUUUACUGCAAGCGGUAGCGGAGCGUUCCGUAAGCCUGUGAAGGUCAACUGUGAGGUUGGCUGGAGGUAUCGGAAGUGAGAAUGCUGACAUGAGUAACGAUAAACAGUGUGAGAAACACUGUCGCCGAAAGACCAAGGGUUCCUGCGUAAAGCUAAUCUGCGCAGGGUUAGUCGGCCCCUAAGGCGAGGCUGAAAAGCGUAGUCGAUGGGAAGCAGGUAAAUAUUCCUGCACCAGCUGGAAGUGACGGAUGGCAUAAGUCGUCGGGGCUUAUUGGAUUGUUCCCGGCGGUGGCGUUGUCCCUGGAAAUAACUCCAGCAGAGACCGUACCCGAAACCGACACAGGUGGUCAGGUAGAGUAUACCAAGGCGCUUGAGAGAACUGUGCUGAAGGAACUCGGCAAAUUGCACGCGUAACUUCGGAAUAAGCGUGACUCACCCUGGGCAACCAGGACUGAGUGGCACAAGCCAGGGGGUAGCGACUGUUUAGCAAAAACAUAGGGCUCUGCGAAGCAUCAAUGCGACGUAUAGGGUCUGACGCCUGCCCGGUGCCUGAAGGUUAAAGGGAGGAGUGAAAGCUCCGAACUGAAGCCCAGGUAAACGGCGGCCGUAACUAUAACGGUCCUAAGGUAGCGAAAUUCCUUGUCGGG